ACAAACCUACAUCUGCUUGUUACAUGCUUGUGCAGCACAAGGGCGCAUAGACCGAGUGUAUGCAAUUGUCCGUGAUAUGAAUGCAGCUGGUCUGGGAUUAAACAAGUUCUGCUAUGCUGGGCUUAUAGUUGCACACAAGAACAAAACACCUUUUACGGAUGAUUUUGAUGCAAAAGUUACCGAGUUUGUGGAGAGGUCGAAGAUAUGGUCUUCAGUAGAAACCGACAGUGCCAAUGCUGAGAAUGCGAUGGUGGGUGU
Lathyrus oleraceus (garden pea) is the source of this 258-nucleotide long non-coding RNA. RefSeq lists it as uncharacterized. Lineage: Eukaryota; Viridiplantae; Streptophyta; Magnoliopsida; Fabales; Fabaceae. The transcript is spliced from 2 exons. The record is from RefSeq and is a predicted model, not a curated record.